Gopherus flavomarginatus (Mexican gopher tortoise) is the source of this 548-nucleotide long non-coding RNA. RefSeq lists it as uncharacterized. Lineage: Eukaryota; Metazoa; Chordata; Testudines; Testudinidae. The transcript has 5 exons. The record is from RefSeq and is a predicted model, not a curated record.
GGGGGGACUUACCUCCGACCCGGUACAUGUUGGCAGCCAUGCCCGGGCUGGGGGGGGUCUGGGCCGCUCCCGCCGCCGCUGCCUCCAGGCCUGAGCAAGAUAGAGCUCUAGCUGAAAGAGAACUGACUACGUCACAAUCCAGAUGAGAUGGAAGAAAAAGGAAAGCAUUAAGAUGAGAAGGAGCCAACACCAUGUGACCUGCCACCUCAUCAUUUACUCCUAGCAAGUGCCCAGUGAUCACUGUUUUGAGAAUCUUUGGGAGGAUUUUUCUGUGCAGUUACCACAGAGAAAAUGAACGUGUCCACUUCCUGGGGAAGAACUAUUUUGUGGAUAAGUGUUAGACAAAAAAUACCUUCUCUCUGAGAGCCCCUUCCAGAGUGAACUAUAGACCUGAAACCUUUCCACAAGGAAAACUGAGCAUGCACACCAAGGUGUUUGUGUGGAGAAAGCUUUCAGGAAUAUUUAUCUUGGAAACAGUUGUCCUCUGUGAUGACUGGUGCCUUUUACAAUGUUUUGCAGUGUUUGGGGAAUUACUCUUAGAAUAGGUC